Molecule: non-coding RNA, 30 nt
Filed under: Mus musculus (house mouse)
Lineage: Eukaryota; Metazoa; Chordata; Mammalia; Rodentia; Muridae
Source: RNAcentral
AGCAAAAUCNGGAAGUCAGGUGACUGGAGC